AGAGUUUGAUCCUGGCUCAGAUUGAACGCUGGCGGCAGGCUUAACACAUGCAAGUCGAGCGGUAACAUUUCUAGCUUGCUAGAAGAUGACGAGCGGCGGACGGGUGAGUAAUGCUUGGGAAUAUGCCUUAUGGUGGGGGACAACAGUUGGAAACGACUGCUAAUACCGCAUAACGUCUACGGACCAAAGGGGGGGGGAUUUUCGGACCUCUCGCCAUUUGAUUAGCCCAAGUGAGAUUAGCUAGUUGGUGAGGUAAUGGCUCACCAAGGCGACGAUCUCUAGCUGGUUUGAGAGGAUGAUCAGCCACACUGGGACUGAGACACGGCCCAGACUCCUACGGGAGGCAGCAGUGGGGAAUAUUGCACAAUGGGCGAAAGCCUGAUGCAGCCAUGCCGCGUGUGUGAAGAAGGCCUUCGGGUUGUAAAGCACUUUCAGUUGUGAGGAAAGGGAUGUAGUUAAUAACUGCAUGCUGUGACGUUAACAACAGAAGAAGCACCGGCUAACUUCGUGCCAGCAGCCGCGGUAAUACGAGGGGUGCAAGCGUUAAUCGGAAUUACUGAGCGUAGAGCGUUCGUAGGCGGUCUAUUAAGCAAGAUGUGAAAGCCCAGGGCUCAACCUUGGAACUGCAUUUUGAACUGGUAGGCUAGAGUACUGUAGAGGGUGGUGGAAUUUCCAGUGUAGCGGUGAAAUGCGUAGAGAUUGGAAGGAACAUCAGUGGCGAAGGCGGCCACCUGGACAGAUACUGACGCUGAGGAACGAAAGCGUGGGGAGCGAACAGGAUUAGAUACCCUGGUAGUCCACGCCGUAAACGAUGUCAACUAGCCGUUCGUGUCCUUGAGACGUGAGUGGCGCAGCUAACGCACUAAGUUGACCGCCUGGGGAGUACGGCCGCAAGGUUAAAACUCAAAUGAAUUGACGGGGGCCCGCACAAGCGGUGGAGCAUGUGGUUUAAUUCGAUGCAACGCGAAGAA
This 971-nucleotide ribosomal RNA is filed under the name uncultured Gammaproteobacteria bacterium. RNAcentral describes it as "bacterial SSU rRNA". It matches the Rfam family "Bacterial small subunit ribosomal RNA", at positions 8 to 968 of the family's 1533-position model. The record is from RNAcentral. Lineage: Bacteria; Pseudomonadati; Pseudomonadota; Gammaproteobacteria.